UACGAAGGGUGCAAGCGUUACUCGGAAUUACUGGGCGUAAGGCGUGAGUAGGUGGUUUCUUAAGUCUGCUGUGAAAGCCCCGGGCUCAACCUGGGAAUUGCAGUGGAUACUGGGAAGCUAGAGUGCGGUAGAGGGUAGUGGAAUUCCCGGUGUAGCGGUGAAAUGCGUAGAGAUCGGGAGGAACACCUGCGGUGCAGACGGCUUUCUGGACCAUUGCUGACGCUGAGACACGAAAGCGUGGGUAGCAAACAGG
Molecule: ribosomal RNA, 253 nt
Filed under: uncultured bacterium
Lineage: Bacteria
Description: partial 16S ribosomal RNA
Rfam family: Bacterial small subunit ribosomal RNA
Source: RNAcentral